Molecule: long non-coding RNA, 363 nt
Filed under: Nicotiana tabacum (common tobacco)
Lineage: Eukaryota; Viridiplantae; Streptophyta; Magnoliopsida; Solanales; Solanaceae
Description: long non-coding RNA (NTAB_LNC019157)
Source: RNAcentral
UCGCUUAGUAGUCAUCACAUUGCAAAAUGAACUUGUGUCACUCCAAAAUAAAUCCGGUCAUUACAAAAUGAACAAAAUGAAAAUGACUGUCACAUUUAUGAUGCUAUGCAACUUGGCACAUUCAUGCUUCUGGCCUCUUCUAUCCUGAAAAGGGAAUAAGAUAUUGGGAAGCAUGUCAAGCUAAUAGAAGAAAAAGAAUAUUUAAGAGAGAAAAGAAAUAAAUUGCACAAGACAAGACAAGAUUUACAUGGUUCAGUAAUUUUUACCUACUCCACGGCCACACAAAGAAUAACUCUUUAUUAAUUGAAAAGAGAAAGAAGAAGUUUUGGGAUGAUCUACAAAUGAAAAUGUAGACCCCUAUUU